GGAUGUGAUGGGGAGCGAAAUUUAGUAGCGAAGUAGCUGAUUUCACACUGUCAAGAAAAGUCUCUAUCGAGGUUAAAGGUACCCGUACCGCAAACCGACACAGGUGGGUGAGGAGAGUAUCCUAAGGCCAGCGAGAGAACUGUUGUUAAGGAACUCGGCAAAAUGACCCCGUAACUUAGGGAUAAGGGGUGCCACCAUCCGGUGGCCGCAGAGAAUAGGCCCAAGCGACUGUUUACCAAAAACAUAGGUUUCUGCUAAGUCGCAAGACGAUGUAUAGGAGCUGACGCCUGCCCGGUGCUGGAAGGUUAAGGGGAUCUGUUAGAGCAAUCGAAGCAGUGAACUUAAGCCCCAGUAAACGGCGGCCGUAACUAUAACGGUCCUAAGGUAGCGAAAUUCCUUGUCGGGUAAGUUCCGACCCGCACGAAAGGCGUAACGAUUUGGGCACUGUCUCAACAACAGACUCGGUGAAAUUGUAAUUCCGGUGAAGAUGCCGGAUACCUGCGACAGGACGGAAAGACCCCAUGGAGCUUUACUGUAGCUUGACAUUGGGUCUUGGUACUACAUGUACAGGAUAGGUGGGAGGCUUUGAAACCAGGACGCCAGUUUUGGCGGAGCCAUCCUUGGGAUACCACCCUUGUAGUACUGGGACUCUAACCAUAGGCCAUGAAUCUGGUCUUGGGACACUGUCAGGUGGGCAGUUUGACUGGGGCGGUCGCCUCCCAAAAGGUAACGGAGGCGCUCAAAGGUUCUCUCAGUACGGUCGGAAAUCGUACGUAGAGUGUAAAGGCAAAAGAGAGCUUGAUUGCAAGACAUACAGGUCGAGCAAGGAUGAAAAUCGGACUUAGUGAUCCGGUGGUUCUGCGUGGAAGGGCCAUCGCUCAACGGAUAAAAGCUACCCUGGGGAUAACAGGCUUAUCUCCCCCAAGAGUCCACAUCGACGGGGAGGUUUGGCACCUCGAUGUCGGCUCAUCACAUCCUGGGGCUGUAGUAGGUCCCAAGGGUUGGGCUGUUCGCCCAUUAAAGUGGUACGCGAGCUGGGUUCAGAACGUCGUGAGACAGUUCGGUCCCUAUCCGUCGCAGGCGUAGGAAAUUUGAGAAGACCUGUCCUUAGUACGAGAGGACCGGGAUGGACG
RNAcentral lists this ribosomal RNA (1133 nucleotides) under Clostridioides difficile. RNAcentral's name for it is "partial 23S ribosomal RNA". It matches the Rfam family "Bacterial large subunit ribosomal RNA", at positions 1559 to 2703 of the family's 2925-position model. Lineage: Bacteria; Bacillati; Bacillota; Clostridia; Peptostreptococcales; Peptostreptococcaceae. The record is from RNAcentral.